Long non-coding RNA from Maylandia zebra (zebra mbuna), 722 nucleotides. RefSeq lists it as uncharacterized. The record is from RefSeq and is a predicted model, not a curated record. Lineage: Eukaryota; Metazoa; Chordata; Actinopteri; Cichliformes; Cichlidae.
CCUGAAGUUCGACACCUGUGCUGUAGAUGUUCUGUUCAAACAAAUAUGGAUACCACAAAACCAGUGUGGGUUUGGUUUUGUGCGAUGGUGAGGCCAUUGCAGUCAUGGAGAUCCAUGGUUAUGUGGUAACAAAUAGGAUGAGGAUUCCAAGCCAGCAAGCCCCAGUCUAAAUAAUGCCACACUGAAGAAAGGUUCUGCUGGUUUGAAGAUGUGAGGCAUAAUAUUCCAACACAAAGAUUAAAAAGACCAUUAUGAUACCUGGAAAUGCUUGUAAAAUGAUCCCAGAUGAACAUAAACACCCACACAACCCAUACCAAAUGACUUAUCCAUAUGGAGCCAAGUUUGAUGUAUUGAAACCAUGAAACAGUGACGAAUAAAUUGCCAUACCAAACGGGUGCUGUGGAAAUGUAAAUGGCACCUCUGAUUCAACUGGACACAGAUUACACACUGACGUUAAUGUGCGAUGCUCUCAUGUUCCCUGUCUGCGUCUGUUAGCUAAUAGCUUAAACGGGCAGCAGAGUUUUAAUUCUUGAAUAUUUCUAUGACCACACAUGGGUUAUUCUGAAGUUGACCUAGAAGUUUUUAUAUUGCUGAGGGAAAAAACAAAUAAAAAAACUGUUAGUAGUGCUAACAUUAUCCAAGAACUCAUUGUCAUCAUCCAAAGAACUGCAGCUACAUUUGCUAACAGCUUAACAAUAAGUACUGUGCAUGUAAUGACCAGC